Molecule: transfer RNA, 82 nt
Filed under: bacterium
Lineage: Bacteria
Also listed under: 1 other name
Description: tRNA-Leu
Rfam family: tRNA
About the family: Transfer RNA (tRNA) molecules are approximately 80 nucleotides in length. Their secondary structure includes four short double-helical elements and three loops (D, anti-codon, and T loops).
Source: RNAcentral
GCGAGAGUGGCGGAAUUUGGCAGACGCGCUGGACUUAGGAUCCAGUGGGUUAACCAUGCGGGUUCGAGUCCCGCCUCUCGCA